Long non-coding RNA from Anolis carolinensis (green anole), 7807 nucleotides. RefSeq lists it as uncharacterized. The record is from RefSeq and is a predicted model, not a curated record. The transcript has 2 exons. Lineage: Eukaryota; Metazoa; Chordata; Lepidosauria; Squamata; Anolidae.
CGACUUAUAAGCCCAGUGUAGAGGGAAACAAGGCCAAUUGGGCCCAAGGCUGCGCUUUUUCACACUUUGGGGGAUUACAAACAAGACAAACACUACCGCCAGCCGCAAUAACAACAGCUUUCGGGCAGGAAGAUCACCAAUGCGGCAAGGAGAAAUGAACCAUGGAGGUGGGACCUGGAUAUUUCAGGCUUUCGUCGACGACGACGGAUGAAGUUGUCAGGGAAACAGCAGUCGAACCUGGAAAGACGGUGCUGCGAAAAGGCACUCGGAGGAUGCGGCGCGGAAAGGGCUUGGCGUAGGCUCCAAACACAACCUAUAUCCGGCCUUUGGAAGCGGUUUGCAAAUGCCGAGACUUCGCAGACGCUGACAUGCUUGGCGUGAAGAUCAUUCCAGAUCCAAUUCUUGGCAUCUCAAGGCAGGGUUAAGAAAAACCCUCUCUGAAACCCUAGAAAGAUAUUUAUAUUCCGCCCUUCUUUCUCACCGCAAAGGGGACUCAGGGCGGAUCACAAUGUACAUAUACAUGAUAAACAUACAGACAGAGACACAGAAGCAAUUUAACAUUUUCCAGCUUCCGGCUUCAUGAGGUUGUGCUCGAUUCCGGCCACAGGGGGAGCUGCUGCUUCAUCAUAUACUGUGACACCAAGUCCUUGAUGGAAUACUUCCUCAUUAUUCCCCAUGCUGCUGGACAUUUUAUGAGCUUUUGGCCCAUUCUAGGAUACGAGUUGGGAUACCGCCGAUUUCUGGGCCUGAAUAUAUUGCACAAGAUUUCUCUAGCCUAAAAUGAUACAUUUUAAUAUAUUGGGUUUAUGGUUCCCAUCCCCUUGAUCAGGUCAUGUAAGUGUUAUUUAUUGCUAUAAUUGUAUUAUUUUACUUUGCUUAAUAAUGUGUUAUUAUGUUGUUAUGUAAUGUUUGUGUUGUUUUUAUGAUUGGAAACCGCCCUGAGUCCCAUCCGGGAGAUAGGGCGGUAUAUAAAUAAAGUUUUAUUAUUUUAUUAUUUUAUUGAUAUAACCCGAUCUAUUUGUUGGAUUAAUGUGAAGUUGAAUAUAGACUGGCUCUGACCUUUUGCCCAGUGCUACUGGCCCUGUUGUAAUAGUCACACAAUGUUUUACUGUUUUAAUUGUGUAUGAUAUUGGUUUUUAAAUGUGUUUUUACCAUUGUUGGUUUUUACUAUAUUUUGUAUUAUAUGUUGCAUUAAUCUCGCCAUUAUGUAAGACCGCUCUGGGUCACCCUGCGGGAGAAGAGCGGUAUAUAAAUUAAAUAAAUUAUUGCUGCGUUUUAACUUUGUCUUAUUAAUGGUUUGAUUUUAAUCGUAUGUUUUAAUAUUUCGUUUGUGCGUUUUCGGUAUUUGAUGUUUUUGUAUGUAUACUUGUUUUGCAUUUGUAAGCCGCCCUGAGUCCCUGCGGGGAGAUAGAGGCGGGAUACAAGAAUAAAAUUAUUAUUAUUAUUAUAAAUAAAUAAAUAACUUAAAUUAGCCUCCCCACAUAAAGCGGUACCUAAAUUUCCUACUCCGACAGAUGCAACUGUCUUUCGGGUUGCUUAGGUAAACAACGAGCUAGGCUAUUUAAUGACCGGGUGCUCAAUCCAACCCGUGUUAGUAUCAAACUCAUUGAUUAGGAAUUGUGGAAGUCCAAAACACCUAAGGGCCGAAGUUUGCCCAUGCCUGGUGUAGAUGUACUAUGAGCAAGGAUAGUUAGUAACAUAAUGUAAAUAAUGCAAAAAUUUGUUUUGCAUCAGGCCUACAGGUUAUCCUUUGCGAUCUCCUCUCAACUCGAAGCCUGGAUUCCUUUAUCCUUUUGACCUGUAAUCUUAUAAUGCUUGCACUAUGAAAGAUCCGGUAAUAGGAUUGUUUUCCACCCUCCAGGCUGUUUCCCAAUAGGAAAUUAUGUAAACCAUCAAGUAAUGCUUGUUAACACAGGCAGUUGUGACACGCAGACGAAAAUGGGUCAAAACUGCCCAUUCAUACUAUCCGUUUUGUCCCAUUGUGGACAAAGAAGGGCUUCAGAGGUUUUUAAAGCAGAAGCUGGAUGUCCAUCAACACUGCUUCACAAUACUGAAAUGUUGCAUUGAAAUGCUUUUAAUACAAGCUGCAUUGAGUCUCUUAGUGGAGAGAAAAAGUGGGGUAGAAAUAAACGUAAACAUAGCAAUAAUAAUAAUAAUAAUAAUAAUAAUAACUGGGGUCUGCACACAUCAUCCGAAAAUACAUCACACAGUCCUAGACACUUGGGAAGUGUUCGACUUGUGGUUUUAUGAUACAAAAGCCAGCAUAUCUAUUGUGUUUGCUGUGUCAUAAUAAAAUAAUAAUAAUAAACAAUAGAGCUGGUCCAGCUUCUAGGAAUCCUAAGAUACAGGGGCCGGGCUGUGGCACAGGCUGGUUAGCAGCCAGCUACAAUAAAUCACUCUGACCAAGAGGUCAUGAGUUCGAGGCCAGCCCAUGUCGGGGUGAGCACCCGACAAUUAAAAAUGAAAUAUAGCCCCUGCUCGUUGCUGACCUAAUCAACAUUUAUCAAGUAGGAAAUUUAGGUACCACUUAUAUGUGGGGAGGCUAAUUUACGACACCAUAAAAAUCACCCAGCCACCGCUGGAAUGAGGAAGUUGCCAUCGCAGUGGAUGAUGAAGCAGCUGCUCCCCUGUGACUGGAAUCAAGCAUACCCUCUGGAAACUGGAAGCUGGAGAAGGUUUAAAUUACCUCUGUGUCUGUCUCUGUCUCUGUUCUAUGUUAUAUGGCAUUGAAUGUUUGCCUUAUAUGUGUACAAUGUGAGAAAAAAGGGAGGAAUAUAAAUACGGCCGAUAAAUAAAUAAAUAAAUAAAUAAAUCCGAAUGUACCGAAACUCAUUCUAAUGUUCCUGUUGAAAACUAAGACGGAGGAAAUUUCCAUCCAAAGUAGCUAAUGAACUAAUUCCAUCGUUGCCCAUUUAUGGGGUCCUGCCAAAACACCUACACACACUCUGCAACAUAUGUGCUGUACCCUGAUUCUGAACAGCCCGGUGCCUCGUGCCAAAGGCAUUUGCAUCCCGGCUCCUACGCUCCCAUCUGGAGCUCCAGGUUUCCGGAGAUUGGAUCAACGUGGAGCUCCCAUCCUUCCUCAAUAUUCCGGAAAAACAACAACAACUCGCUAAUUAAUCGAAGGUUUCAUCCACACAAGAAAGUAGAGGUCCAUUUUGCUUGUCCUCGAGGAACUCGAAAAAGCUCUCCAAGCUGAUGAAGCCUUUCCCGCCAUGGGUUCAACCAGGCCUGGGCAAACUUCGGCCCUCCGGGUGUUUUGGACUUCAACUCCCAUCAUUCCUAACAGCCUCAGGCCCUUUCCUUUGCUCUGGCCUUUCAUUUCUUAGUGAAAAAUUUGUUACUACUACGACAGUCACGAAAUUUCAUUACUAUUUCGUUAUAGUAAUUGCACAGUUGUGAAAACUUCAUGGGCUCCUUUAUUCCUAAUUUCUAAACCUAUUGCAGUGAAACUUCUGUUCUCUUGGCUUUACCAAAGUUGCUUAAUGCUUAUCCUGAAAAUUAAACUAACCUUGGGAGGCAUUAAAAUGUUACAAAAUUAUCAGUGAGUGUUUUAAUUCUUAAAUCCUCCCCACCUUUCCUUCAUGUUUCUAAUAUCGAUUCGUAGGCACAAAUCUGACGAAUUUAAUACGAAAUACGAACUAAACACGAAAUUUUGCACACCUCUAGUAUAUACAGUAGAGUCUCACUUAUCCAACAUAAACGGGCUGGCAGAACGUUGGAUAAGCGAAUAUGUUGGAUAAUAAGGAAAGGUUAAGGAGAAGCCUAUUAAACACCAAAUUAGGUUACAAUUUUACAAAUUAAGCAUCAAAUCAUCAUGUUAUACAACAAAUUUGACAGAAAAUGUAGUUCAUUAUGCAGUAAUGCUACGUAGUAAUUACUGUACAGUAGAGUCUCACUUAUCCAAGCUAAACGGGCCAGCAGAAGCUUGGAUAAGCUAAUAUCUUGGAUAAUAAGGAGGGAUUAAGGAAAAGCCUAUUAAACAUCAAAUUAGGUUAUGAUUUUACAAAUUUGACAGAAAAUGUAGUUCAAUACGCAGUAAUGUUAUGAUGUAAUUACUGUUUCUACUAAUUUAGCACCAAAAUAUCACGAUGUAUUGAAAACAUUGACUACAAAAAUGGCUUGGAUAAUCCAAAGGCUUGGAUAAGCGAGGCUUGGAUAAGUGAGACUCUACUGUAUUUACGAAUUUAGCAUCAAAAUAUCACGAUGUAUUGAAAACACAGACUAUAAAAAUGCGUUGGAUAAUCCAGAACGUUGGAUAAGCGAGACUCUACUGUAUUCCAAAACAUUUAACCUACUGAUGCCUCAAUUCAUGUAAUUAUAUUGGUAUCUAUUUUUAUUUCUGAAAUUUCCCACCCUCAGCUUAUACUGGAGUCAAUGUUUUCCCAGUUUUUUUGUGGUAAAAGUAGAUGCCUCGGCUUAUAUUUGGGUCAGCUUAUACUCGAGUAUAUACAGUAUAUAUAUAUAUAUACACACACACACACACUCAUGUACUACCUUGGAUCUCCAUGGAAACACUAUUUGAAGCUCUCAAUCCAAAGUGUGAGACAGAAUUUAAAAAACCAGCUGGUGCAAUGAGCAUAAGGUGUCUAUAUUAUUUAAUCUUUACAUGACCUGUACGAAGGUUUAUUGAGGAUUCUGGACGAAUGGAUUUUUAUCAUGGACAUGCUUAAAAUUUUAUAUAAUGUGAUUUUAUUUUGCAAUGGUGCCUGUUUUAUAUGAAUGGUUGUUUUGUAGAUUGUUUUAUAUGAAUUGUUUUUGGGCAUUGAAUUUUCGCCUAUUUAUUGUAAGCCGCUUUGAGUCCUCUCGGGGAGAAAGGCGGGGUAAAAGUGAUGUAAAUCUAUAUAUAUAUAAAAGGGUAAUGAAAUUUCGGCCUAGGACAAAACAACAAAACUGCACAUCCCAGAAACACUAAACUUGGCAGCACAACCCCUCAUCCAUGCCUCUACGUUCAUACAACAAAAAGAAAAGAAAAAUAAAGUCCUAAUUAGAGGGAGAGGAAUAAUUGUUUUUAUUCCAUUUGCUGCCACUUAGAAGGCUAAGUUCCGCCCACUUGGUCUCCUAGCAACCCACUCAGCCCAGGGGACAGGCAGAGUUAGGCCUCACUUAGGCCUCUUCCACACUGCCUAGAAAAUACAGAUUAUCUGAUUUUAACUGGAUUAUAUGGCAGUGUAGUCUCAAGGCCCUUCCACGCAGCUAUAUAACCCAUUUAUAAUGGACUUAAUGUCAGGGGAAAAGCUUUACCCUUUACCUUAACUACCACCAAUUCCUCAAUACUUUAUUUCCCAGACCACCAGACUAUGCCACAGCAACGCGUGGCCGGGCACAGCUAGUAAAUACAUAAACAAAUAAUCUUCCAUUGCAAUCGAUACAUGUUUUGCUUUGUCUCCUUCCCUUCUUAAAAACAUUGUUUUAGCUUAAACUGGUCAAUCCAGUAGCCACUUGAAGAUCAAAUUGCCACUUCCUUGUAAGGGAAAGGUCUUUUUCCGUCUGGAUUGCUCAAGCCUUCCAACCUGUUUUUUUUUAAAUAGUUUUUAUUGUGCUUUUAUCUAUAAUUACAGUGAAAGCGAGGAAAACAGUUGUGUGUAGAAAGUGGGGUGAAAGUAGAGACCAGAGACCAAGAAGCCAAAGAAGAUAAAACCAGGAGAGAAAAGAUAAAUAAAUAAUAAACUUUAAAAAAAAUAGGUGUGAAAAGAAAAGAAAAAAUUAAAAAAAGAAAAGAAAAAAUAAGGAUAAUAAAAAGAGAAGAAGAAAAAAGAGAAAAAAGAAAGACAAAUUUGGAUAACUUCCCAUUGACCUCUUGAGGGUUUCAAAAUCUUGUAGUCUGUUUUCAUCUCUGGUAUUAACAGUCUUAUAGUUUUGGUGUAUAUCACAUAUCAAAUAAGUCUAUUGUUAAUGUUGUAUAGACUUUCCUUUGGCGUUCUGCAUUGUUACUUUCUUUUCCCAAUAUGUGGUUUGUCUUUUAUGUCUUAAUCACUAUUUUGUCAGAUGAUGGUAUAUUCCAAUGUCUUUUGAUUUUCUAUUUGAUUGCUGACAAUAAUUUAUGUGGCUCAGAGAUCAAAAGGGGAUGAUAUAGGGACCAGUUGUGCUAUAUGACUCAGGUUCUGUUGUAUAUUAUACUGUGGUUACAAUUAAUAUCUUAUCUUGCUUAUGAUGGAGGUUGUUGCCUUGUCCUUUUUCCUCCUAACUUCUCUCCUUGCUGCUUGUCCUAAACUGACCGCCUCCUUCUUGUCAAUCUGUCUUCUCUGAUAGUUCUUCUUCUGUAUUCUGAUUAAUCUGUUUCUUUUUCCGUUUCUCUUUUUGUUGGGCCAGUUGUUUUCCCUUCUGCAGGGGUUUGUUUUCUACAGCUCUGUCGCUCCGUAGCACUGUGAUUCUAUGUUCACCUUCCAACCUGUUGACUUGCACAGUUGUCAACCAUUGGCUCGAGAGCGCUUUCCGUGACCCACUUGAACCUGUGCGAGUGUAAGUGGCCGAAAUGUGUUGACUCACACGUUGUCGGGCUUCUCGGACGGGCGCAAAACAAAGGUAACGCACACCUCCAAGGUGGCAAAGAUGACAAGGAAGAGGCAGCUGGAAAAACGACUAAGUGGGAGAGGUAAAAUAACGGCCGGGAAACCCGAUCGCUCCCGCGGCCGGCGUGUCACCGACACCGCUCUCUUCCAUUUACGUCAUGGGCGAAUUUGGGGCCCUGGAGCAGGAGGUAAUCCAUAAUCCCCAAAGAGAGGAAUGUGAGUCACGGCUCAGCAUCACUCCGCUACGAGCGGCUUGGAAAAGGCACACUGCUGAGGAAGCUUGUUCAGUGUGUCAUGUUCGUUUGCGUUCUCCCACUGCUGCUCUUCUCUGCCUCAUUUCCUGCCUUUCUUCUUCCUUCUUGACUUCAACGGCAUGUAGAACCUAUCGUUCCUGAGAUGACCUGUUGUUGAUGCGGAAGGACAACUCCGCCAGAGGAAAACAGGAGUUCUUGUAUUGAAAAGUGGCCAAAAACCAAGGAGAAACGGAUACAGAACACACUCAAAUUUGUUUUCAAACUGUUAGGUUGGAAGAAGCUGGGGCUAACAGCGGGAGCUCACUCCGCUCCCCGGAUUCAAACCAGCAAGUUCAGUAGCUCAGUGGUUUAAAAACAUGGUUGUUCCAGAGCUUAAAUGAAAGAGUUCCAGAGUGUAAAUGAAAGGCCCAAUACAACUGUUAUUAGAAUACUUCUUUCUGUUUUAAAAGCAUAUGGCACUUUAUCACUGCUACUUACAGUAGAGUCUCACUUAUCCAACAUAAACGGGCUGGCAGAACAUUGGAUAAGCGAAUGUGUUGGAUAAUAAGGAGAGAUUAAGAAAAAGCCUAUUAAACAUCAAAAUAGGUUAUGAUUUUACAAAUUAAGCACCAAAACAUCAUGUUAUACAACAAAUUUGACAGAAAAAGUAGUUCAUUAGACAUUAAUACUAUGUAGCAAUUACUGUAUUUAUGAAUUUAGCACCAAAAUAUCACGAUGUUUUGAAAACAUUGACUACAAAUAUGCGUUGGAUAAUCCAGAACGUUGGAUAAGUGAGUGUUGGAUAAGUGGGACUCUACUGUAUUUCCAUGAUACAGCACUUUAUGAAACCUAUCCCCACUGGUUUGCUUUUAAUUACUCUGAUUUUAUCUGCUUGGAUUUUAAUGUAUCUGUCCAUUAUUUUAUUUUGUGUAUUGUUGGAAUGUUUUAAGUUUAUGUCAAAUAUGUUGCUGUUGUUUCAGGCUUGUCCCUGUUUAUGAGCCGCCUCGAGUCCCUUCGGGGAGAUGGGGCGGGAUAUAAAAAUAAAGUUGUUUAUUAUUAUUA